This 264-nucleotide ribosomal RNA is filed under the name Triticum aestivum (bread wheat). Its description in RNAcentral is "partial small subunit ribosomal RNA". The record is from RNAcentral. Lineage: Eukaryota; Viridiplantae; Streptophyta; Magnoliopsida; Poales; Poaceae.
AUGGCGAUGCGUGCGCUGUACAACGAGAUCCGCGCGAUGAAGGUGCGCGAGGUGCCGGCGUACCUCAAGCCGCGCCUCACCUGGGCGAACGUGAAGAAGAGCACCGACCAGGCGGUGGACCGCUACAUCGAGAAGUACAUCGAGACCAGCUCGGCUGACCCGCUCUUCCACAUCUGCUUCGGCGGCAUGGCCUUCUCGUACCUCGUGGGCCUGCCCCAGGAGCGCCGCCACCUCGAGCACCUCGAGAAGCACGGCGGCCACUAG